GACGAACGCUGGCGGCGUGCCUAAUACAUGCAAGUCGAACGCACAGUUUAUACCGUAGCUUGCUACACCAUAGACUGUGAGUUGCGAACGGGUGAGUAACGCGUAGGUAACCUGCCUGGUAGCGGGGGAUAACUAUUGGAAACGAUAGCUAAUACCGCAUAAUAUUAAUUAUUGCAUGAUAAUUAAUUGAAAGGUGCAAUUGCACCACUACCAGAUGGACCUGCGUUGUAUUAGCUAGUAGGUGAGGUAACGGCUCACCUAGGCGACGAUACAUAGCCGACCUGAGAGGGUGAUCGGCCACACUGGGACUGAGACACGGCCCAGACUCCUACGGGAGGCAGCAGUAGGGAAUCUUCGGCAAUGGACGAAAGUCUGACCGAGCAACGCCGCGUGAGUGAAGAAGGUUUUCGGGUCGUAAAGCUCUGUUGUAAGAGAAGAACGGGUGUGAGAGUGGAAAGUUCACACUGUGACGGUAUCUUACCAGAAAGGGACGGCUAACUACGUG
This 505-nucleotide ribosomal RNA is filed under the name uncultured bacterium. Its description in RNAcentral is "partial 16S ribosomal RNA". It matches the Rfam family "Bacterial small subunit ribosomal RNA", at positions 28 to 507 of the family's 1533-position model. The record is from RNAcentral.